This 253-nucleotide ribosomal RNA is filed under the name uncultured bacterium. Its description in RNAcentral is "partial 16S ribosomal RNA". It matches the Rfam family "Bacterial small subunit ribosomal RNA", at positions 524 to 776 of the family's 1533-position model. The record is from RNAcentral.
UACGUAGGGUGCAAGCGUUGCUCGGAAUUAUUGGGCGUAAAGGGUAGGUAGGUGGUCUCAUUUGUCUGGGGUGAAAGCCUUGAGCUUAACUCAAGAAGUGCCCCAGAAACGGUGAGACUCGAGUCCUGGAGAGGGUCGUGGAAUUCCCGGUGUAGCGGUGAAAUGCGCAGAUAUCAGGAGGAACACCGAUGGCGAAGGCAGGUCUCUGAGCCACUACUGACGCUGAGAAGCGAAAGCAUGGGGAGCGAACAGG